AAGAAGGGUCGGUGACAUACUUAUUUGUGGUCCCUUUUGUCUUUUGUCUUUUUCUCUUUCCCUCGUGUGUAAGGCGUUGAGUUGACAACCAAAACUAAAGCAAACGAAAGGCUUUUUAAAUGGGCCGAAAUGUUGGAUUAUCCAAGGAUUGGGUCAAGCCCAUUUAGAAGUUGUUAAACUGUAAUGUGAAAGAAACCCUUCGCUUUUUAAGACGGCGACCGGAUUAGUUGAUCGAGCGGCGGCGAUUGAUUUCGAUCCGAAAGAAUGUUUCGGAGGAACAGGUUCUUGUCUCUUCCGAUGGUCGUUGGAGCUGUUGUGUAAGUUCUCUUUUUCAUCCUCACUCGUCUCCUCAGCGAUAAGUUAGAUCGUGAAAGAAUGUUUCGGCGAUUUAUUUCGAUCUGAAAGAAUGUUUCGGUAGAUGAUUACUAAAAGUUUAUUACUUGAGUGAUAAGUUAGAUCGCGUAUCAUAGCUCCUUGAAAGCCCUCAGGUUUUGUAAGAAUGGAUCUGAACAUUGUAAAAUUGGAAUUCGAGAUGAUAUUUGAGGAUCGGACAUUCUGGAUCAGUAAUGAGCGAUCUGAAUAGGGUUUUGUUGUUCUUUGAUUAUUCUGCAGGAUUGGUGUCGUUUCAGGUAAAGCUAUUUUUGGGCCACCACUAGAUCAGUAUUGGCAGAAGAAGCUCGAAGGAGAAGCUGCUGCCAAGGAAGCUAUUGAAAAGAGCUCAGAUUAAAGCAGCAUAAUCAUCCUAAAGAUUUUGGUUUUGUGACCAGAGACUUGUGUAAUAUCACAGACUACUAAAGAGCUUCGAUAAUUGUUUGCAAAAUUAUAUAAGGAAGCACUCUUUAGUGUAGGAUGCGAUACAAAAAAGCCAGAAAGUGUAAUAAUGUUGUAAGUGCCUUGCGUAUUACGUUUUUGCAAAUCGAAGGAGAAUGAUAAAAUCCCUAAAGCAUCAUUCACUUCUUCCUCGGAAUAAAACUCAAAACCCCUGUUGACACA
RNAcentral lists this long non-coding RNA (993 nucleotides) under Brassica rapa (field mustard). Its description in RNAcentral is "long non-coding RNA (BRAP_LNC004557)". The record is from RNAcentral. Lineage: Eukaryota; Viridiplantae; Streptophyta; Magnoliopsida; Brassicales; Brassicaceae.